CACUGACCAAAGAGAGAGACCAGCUACAGACCAGCUACAACACACUGACCAGAGAGAGAGACCAGCUACAAUCUUUAGUUCAGAAAGUGUGUCCUCAAGGAUGGAAGAAGCUUGGUAGCAGUUGUUACUACGUCUCUACUGACUACAAAUCCUGGGAGGAGAGCAGACAGGACUGCAGAAAUAGAGGAGCACACUUGGUGGUCAUCAACAGCCAAGAGAAACAGACAUUAGUCAAUUGGUUAUGUGGACGAAAGAACUAUGCCUGGAUUGGUCUGACUGACUCUGUUUCUGAGGGGACCUGGAAAUGGGUGGACGACACACCACUGACCACAAAGUAUUGGAACAGUGGAGAUCCUAAUGGUGGAAGAGCUGAGAACUGUGUGUAUUUCUACUCCAGGUCAUCAGACACAGGAGAAUGGUGGGACUAUGACUGUUCCUAUAAAUACAGAUGGAUCUGUGAGAAAUAGGAUUCAUCCUCGGUACUCUGAACUGCUAAAUAGGAUUAUGAUAAGUACUAUCAAUCGUAAACUAUUUUCUGCUCAUUCUAUUUACCUUGUCAAGUACAUACAAUAUAUAACAAUGCAAAUGAAUAAUACAUUAUAAUCAAACCAACAAAACAUAUGCAAUAACAAUACAAUGAAUUGAUAACAGAAUAACUGUUCUCUCUGUUGUUGUGGAAAUUCACCACUAAGGACUCAAAUUCAAAGGAAAUGAAUCCAUCUUUAUUAUCUCAGUCAUCGAGGUUCACUGACUCAACACAAGCCUGAUGUUAAUUUUUAUUAUUAUUACUUUUUAGUUUAGUCUACUUGCUAAAUAUUUUCUUAACUCUUCUU
Salmo salar (Atlantic salmon) is the source of this 833-nucleotide non-coding RNA. The record is from RefSeq and is a predicted model, not a curated record. Lineage: Eukaryota; Metazoa; Chordata; Actinopteri; Salmoniformes; Salmonidae.